Molecule: transfer RNA, 71 nt
Filed under: Stegodyphus mimosarum
Lineage: Eukaryota; Metazoa; Arthropoda; Arachnida; Araneae; Eresidae
Rfam family: tRNA
About the family: Transfer RNA (tRNA) molecules are approximately 80 nucleotides in length.
Source: Rfam by way of RNAcentral
GCCUUCGUGGUGUAGUGGUCAGCACACUGGGCGUAUUCCAUAGGUCCGUGGUUCGAGUCCCGGCGAAGGCG